RNAcentral lists this small nucleolar RNA (84 nucleotides) under Gavia stellata (red-throated loon). RNAcentral describes it as "Small nucleolar RNA SNORD121A". It matches the Rfam family "Small nucleolar RNA SNORD121A". Lineage: Eukaryota; Metazoa; Chordata; Aves; Gaviiformes; Gaviidae. The record is from Rfam by way of RNAcentral.
UGCCAGAAAACUAUGAUGUGUUAUUUCCAAGAAUAUACCUGACUGCUUUUUGUGGAAACCUGACUAUUUCUGAGUUAAUUGUGA